AGACGAGAAGACCCUGUGGAGCUUUAGACCUAAAAUAAACCACGUUUAAUAUACUAAAAUUAAUAGCAAAAACUUAGUGGACAUUUAUUUAAGUGUCUUUGGUUGGGGCGACCGCGGAGUAAAACACAACCUCCAUGUGGACGGGGAUACUAUCCCUAAAACUCAGAGCCUCCACUCCAAGCAACAGAAAUUCUGACCUCACUGAUCCGGUACAGCCGAUUAACGAACCCAGUUACCCCAGGGAUAACAGCGCAAUCCCCUCUCAGAGCUCAUAUCGACGAGGGGGUUUACGACCUCGAUGUUGGAUCAGGACAU
This 315-nucleotide ribosomal RNA is filed under the name Merluccius hubbsi (Argentine hake). Its description in RNAcentral is "partial 16S ribosomal RNA". It matches the Rfam family "Bacterial large subunit ribosomal RNA", at positions 2079 to 2545 of the family's 2925-position model. The record is from RNAcentral. Lineage: Eukaryota; Metazoa; Chordata; Actinopteri; Gadiformes; Merlucciidae.